RNAcentral lists this ribosomal RNA (497 nucleotides) under uncultured bacterium. RNAcentral's name for it is "partial 16S ribosomal RNA". It matches the Rfam family "Bacterial small subunit ribosomal RNA", at positions 28 to 507 of the family's 1533-position model. The record is from RNAcentral.
GACGAACGCUGGCGGCGUGCCUAAUACACGCAAGUUGAGCGCUGAAGGUUGGUACUUGUACCAACUGGAUGAGCAGCGAACGGGUGAGUAACGCGUGGGGAAUCUGCCUUUGAGCGGGGGACAACAUUUGGAAACGAAUGCUAAUACCGCAUAAAAACUUUAAACACAAGUUUUAAGUUUGAAAGAUGCAAUUGCAUCACUCAAAGAUGAUCCCGCGUUGUAUUAGCUAGUUGGUGAGGUAAAGGCUCACCAAGGCGAUGAUACAUAGCCGACCUGAGAGGGUGAUCGGCCACAUUGGGACUGAGACACGGCCCAAACUACUACGGGAGGCAGCAGUAGGGAAUCUUCGGCAAUGGACGAAAGUCUGACCGAGCAACGCCGCGUGAGUGAAGAAGGUUUUCGGAUCGUAAAACUCUGUUGGUAGAGAAGAACGUUGGUGAGAGUGGAAAGCUCAUCAAGUGACGGUAACUACCCAGAAAGGGACGGCUAACUACGUG